CUGGUGUGCGUGGAGGACUAACGAUUUCACCCCUGUUUGUUUCUUCUUAAUAUGUUUCUGCUGAAGGGAAUACUCAGAGAACAGUUAUUACAAUAAUCAAGUGUUUUGGCAGCAGAAUCCCAUGUCACACUUGGAGCUAUUUUGGCAGUUCGUUGGUGAGCCUUUCAUUCCUCUGAAAUGAUGCGAUCCCUCCUGGCUUCCUUUCUUCCGAAUCACCCUGAAGCUAUUUAUACUGUGAAUUAUGUACUUCUGAAUACUCCUUGUCAAGAAAAUUGGUUCAGUGAAGAAGUCUUGCCUAAUUUGUGCAUUGAAGAUGCUAGAAGUAAAUGUUGGUGUUGGUGUGUGUGAAUGUGUGUGUGUCCCUGUCACACCUGUUUCCACUCUUUUUUUCUUUGUGAUCCUGGGUAUCAAACCCAGGUCCUCCCUUGUGCUAGGCAAGCGCUGUACUGCAG
RNAcentral lists this long non-coding RNA (452 nucleotides) under Cavia porcellus (domestic guinea pig). Its description in RNAcentral is "lncRNA (ENSCPOG00000035584.1)". The record is from RNAcentral. Lineage: Eukaryota; Metazoa; Chordata; Mammalia; Rodentia; Caviidae.